This 808-nucleotide ribosomal RNA is filed under the name Helix pomatia (Roman snail). Its description in RNAcentral is "partial 16S ribosomal RNA". The stretch from base 337 to 570 matches the Rfam family "Archaeal large subunit ribosomal RNA", at positions 1786 to 2143 of the family's 2987-position model. The record is from RNAcentral. Lineage: Eukaryota; Metazoa; Mollusca; Gastropoda; Stylommatophora; Helicidae.
AGUAACAAAAAAGAGAUAAAUAUUAUACCACGAAAGAAAGUGAGCUAAAUAUAUAUAGUUGUAUUGCAUACGUAGCAUAGUAUGUAUAAAAUAUUUAUUUAGGAGUGAUAGGCUUUUCAAGCGUUCUUAUAACUUGUUUCAUAUGAAAAGUAUUAAGUACCUGAACAGAUUUAAAAAGUUAAGCUUUUAAAUAACUAUUAAGAACAUUAUUUCCCUGUAGUGUAGUAUAAUAACUGUCUACGUAGGAACUUAACAUAAAGUAUGGUAAUUUAUAUUUUAUAGUAUGGCAAUAACAAUUACGUUACCAUUUGAUAAUGUUAUUAUUAGUAAUAUUAAUGUAUAUGCUAAAGGAACUCGGCAAAAUCACCGCUCAACUGUUUAUCAAAAACAUAGCUGUAUGGAUUAAUAUAUAGUUAUUUCUGCUCAAUGAUUUAAAUAGCCGCAGUACUCUGACUGUGCAAAGGUAGCAUAAUCAGUUGGCUUUUAAUUGGAGUCUGGCAUGAAUGAAAAUAUGGGUAGUAACUGUCUUAGUAUAUUACUUGAACUUAUUAAACAAGUGCAAAUGCUUGUAUUUACACAAUAGACGAGAAGACCCUAGAAACUUGAAUUGAUUUUUGUUGGGGCGACAGAAUUACAAUUAACUAAUUUUUAUUACAAGACGCAAGGUUGAAAGAAUAAGUUACUCUAGGGAUAACAGCAUAAUUUUAGUAGUUUGUGACCUCGAUGUUGGACUAGGUAUUAUACCCUUUAGACAAGGGUAUACCAUGCUCUGUUCGAGCAAGAUUACCUACAUGAUCUGAGUUCAGAC